Molecule: ribosomal RNA, 119 nt
Organism: Lepisosteus oculatus (spotted gar)
Lineage: Eukaryota; Metazoa; Chordata; Actinopteri; Semionotiformes; Lepisosteidae
Source: Ensembl
GCCAGCAGCCAUAUCACUCUGCAACUCACAACUGGCAGCCCACUGAAGCUAAGCAGGUGUGAGCCUGGUCAGUACCUGGAUGGGAGACCUCCUGGGAAAAACUAAGGUUGCUGCUGGAA